This is a long non-coding RNA of Physeter macrocephalus (sperm whale), 1758 nucleotides long. RefSeq lists it as uncharacterized. The record is from RefSeq and is a predicted model, not a curated record. Lineage: Eukaryota; Metazoa; Chordata; Mammalia; Artiodactyla; Physeteridae. The transcript has 2 exons.
GCCUCUGAGAGCAAAUGGUGUGGAGAACUCAGUGCCACAGCCUGGGCCGGCUGUAGUGGGAAGUUCUGCAAAGCCCGGCGCACCUGGCGAGAAGCCUGGCGUGGUGACGGGCGGCCUGGGAGGGCCCGGGAGGAGCGAGUGUGGCCCCUGCUGAGCGGCACCGAGGGCUUUCCUCUGGGACCAACCCCAGCGCAGCGAGGCAGCCCGGGGAACCAGAAGGUUGGCCCCUCUUGGCAGCGCCGGGCCUCGUGCUCCCCUCUGCCCCGUCGUCAGGACACCUGGAGGGACUGCCAGUGCCCAUCUGUCCAGCCGUGUAUGCAUGUGCCGAGGAAAUCCCUAUAAAAACAACCACAAAAAAAAUGCUUCAAUCAAACGCACACAGCUCAAUCACACUGGAAAUGUCUGUCCUUGUACCUGAGCCUGCUCCCCCCACCCAGCAGCAAGAGUUCCUCUGCCCUGGGGGUUGGUCUCGCUUGCGUUCUGCCUCCCCUCCCAGUUCCACAAGUGGGUUUUGCACCGGGGCCCUAGCCUUCUGUGCGUUGUCCAGCAGGUUGCAGCUUCUCCUGCAGGCAUUCACGCUACAGACAUCGCUGAGAACCUGCUGGAUGCCAGGCAGUGCGCCGGGCGCUGGGAAAUACAGCUGUGAACAAGACAGGCUUGGGUCCUACUCUUGGAGCACCAACCACGGGACCCAUUCAAGUUAGUGGGUGACUGUUUUGAGACCAGAAGUUUUCGUAGUUGCUUCUGAGCCUUUUGAGCCUGGAGUGAUUGCUCUUAUAUAAGACCACUAAGGAGUGAGGAUGCCCACCUGUCCCCCACCAAAGAGGCCGGUGGUGGGCAGUGAGAACCCCCCAGUCGCUGCGUUCAUCCGGAGCCCCCUUCCUGCCCCCAGGGGAGGCACAGACUGUGUGCAGCCUCAGAGCAUCCCUGCCUCCAGCCCAGCGAUUCUCUGCCAAAGCUUGUGGAGGAGGGGAGAGCCCUCCCCCCACUUCCAUUGGUCUCCCCAGUGCCCUGGCCUUCCUAUUUAUUUUCCUGCUGUAUCGCUUCUUUCCUUGCGUUAAAGGAGAUCUUCCCCUAACCCUCUGGGCCAAUUUACUGGCUACUGAGUAACUUCCCUCGAAUACCAAUUGUGUCAUUAGGGGGACCUUCUUUCCCCACCCCUGCCGACGCCCCAUCUGUCCGCCCUGCGGCAGAACUUGGCGGUUUAGAGGAGGUGACGGAUCGCAGACUCCUCUCCCCCCGCCGCAGCCAGCCUCUGGGAUCUGCCAACACUCCUUGACCCAGGGACUCCCAAGCCACUAGCCCACUCCCCCGGUGGCCCUGCUGUCCUCACCACACACUCCUCCUUCUCCACCUCCGGGGAAGACUGAGCAGUUUUGGGGGGAAGCUCCCAACCCCACCGCUACCACUCUUAACCCAAGAGUUAGGAGUGAGAGAGUUGGGAAGAAACUAAAGCCGUGGUUUUGGCCCCCUGAGGCUAACCCUGAUCCAUAGGGCUACCUGCACCUCUGGAUUCUGGAUUCACAGACCAAGUCCAAGCCCGUUCUUAGGUCGCCGUCAAGGCCCCCGAACGGCAUUCUCGGUACUUCUGUUUGUUUUUGUACAUUUUAUUAGAAUGGACUGUAAAAUAGCCACUUAGACACUUUACCUCUUCAGUAUGCAAAUGUAAAUAAGUUGUAAUAUAGGAAAUCUUUUGUUUUAAUAUAAGAAUGAGCCUGUCCAAUUUCUGCUGUACAUUAUUAAAGUUUUAUUCACAGA